Caenorhabditis elegans is the source of this 21-nucleotide non-coding RNA. Lineage: Eukaryota; Metazoa; Nematoda; Chromadorea; Rhabditida; Rhabditidae. The record is from Ensembl.
UGUGAUUCAAGCUGGUAUAAU